CCGGUGCCAGCCGCCGCGGUAACACCGGCGGCUCGAGUGGUAACCGUUAUUAUUGGGUCUAAAGGGUCUGUAGCCGGCCGGAUAAGUCUCUUGAGAAAUCUGGCAGCUUAACUGUCAGGCUUUCAGGAGAUACUGUCUGGCUCGAGGCCGGGAGAGGUGAGAGGUACUUCAGGGGUAGGGGUGAAAUCUUGUAAUCCUUGAAGGACCACCAGUGGCGAAGGCGUCUCACCAGAACGGACCUGACGGCAAGGGACGAAAGCUAGGGGCACGAACCGGAUUAGAUACCCGGGUAGUCCUAGCCGUAAACGAUACUCGCUAGGUGUCGGCCACGGUGCGACCGUUGUCGGUGCCGUAG
RNAcentral lists this ribosomal RNA (355 nucleotides) under uncultured archaeon. RNAcentral describes it as "bacterial SSU rRNA". It matches the Rfam family "Archaeal small subunit ribosomal RNA", at positions 452 to 806 of the family's 1478-position model. The record is from RNAcentral.